This 478-nucleotide ribosomal RNA is filed under the name uncultured bacterium. Its description in RNAcentral is "partial 16S ribosomal RNA". It matches the Rfam family "Bacterial small subunit ribosomal RNA", at positions 28 to 523 of the family's 1533-position model. The record is from RNAcentral.
GACGAACGCUGGCGGCGUGCUUAACACAUGCAAGUCGAACGGUAAGGCCCUUCGGGGUACACGAGUGGCGAACGGGUGAGUAACACGUGGGUGAUCUGCCCUGCACUUCGGGAUAAGCCUGGGAAACUGGGUCUAAUACCGGAUAGGACCACUGCCUGCAUGGGCGGUGGUGGAAAGCUUUUGCGGUGUGGGAUGGGCCCGGGGCCUAUCAGCUUGUUGGUGGGGUGAUGGCCUACCAAGGCGACGAAGGGUAGCCGGCCUGAGAGGGUGACCGGCCACACUGGGACUGAGAUACGGCCCAGACUCCUACGGGAGGCAGCAGUGGGGAAUAUUGCACAAUGGGCGCAAGCCUGAUGCAGCGACGCCGCGUGAGGGAUGACGGCCUUCGGGUUGUAAACCUCUUUCAGCACCGACGAAGCGCAAGUGACGGUAGGUGCAGAAGAAGGACCGGCCAACUACGUGCCAGCCGCCGCCGUAA